Molecule: ribosomal RNA, 447 nt
Filed under: uncultured bacterium
Lineage: Bacteria
Description: SSU rRNA
Rfam family: Bacterial small subunit ribosomal RNA
Source: RNAcentral
AGAACGAACGCUGGCGGCAUGCCUAACACAUGCAAGUCGAACGAGACCUUCGGGUCUAGUGGCGCACGGGUGGCGUAACGCGUGGGAAUCUGCCCUUAGGUACGGAAUAACAGUGAGAAAUUACUGCUAAUACCGUAUGAUGUCUUCGGACCAAAGAUUUAUCGCCUAGGGAUGAGCCCGCGUUGGAUUAGCUAGUUGGUGGGGUAAAGGCCUACCAAGGCGACGAUCCAUAGCUGGUCUGAGAGGAUGAUCAGCCACACUGGGACUGAGACACGGCCCAGACUCCUACGGGAGGCAGCAGUGGGGAAUAUUGGACAAUGGGCGAAAGCCUGAUCCAGCAAUGCCGCGUGAGUGAAGAAGGCCUUCGGGUUGUAAAGCUCUUUUACCCGGGAAGAUAAUGACUGUACCGGGAGAAUAAGCCCCGGCUAACUCCGCGCCAGCAGCCGC